This 77-nucleotide non-coding RNA is filed under the name Pedobacter hartonius. Lineage: Bacteria; Pseudomonadati; Bacteroidota; Sphingobacteriia; Sphingobacteriales; Sphingobacteriaceae. The record is from RNAcentral.
UUGAGCCGUGUGCAGGGAAACUUGCAUGCACGGUUCUUAGGGGAGUCGGCCCAGGUAACUGGGCCCUCUUACCCGAC